CAUUGUAUGGACAGACAAACUAAGGUUGGGUUAAAUGGCUUGCCAAAAGCAUACAGCUACAGCGGGCCACUGAUGGGGCUUGAGACCAGGUCUUGCAGUUCCUCCUCCAUCAGAUACAGAGGCCUAAACUCCUGCAGAAACGUGUGAUGGCUUGUGCAAGCAGUGGGUCCCAGCCUGGCCAAACAUUAGACCUCACCCGGGUGUGGCUAGAUGUUGCCAAGGACAUGAGGCUUGGAGUCCCCACCCAGGUCCAUUCAAGGAGAAUCUCUGGGUGUGGGGCCUGGGCACCAGUAUUCCUGGAGUUCUCCAGGUGGCUGCAAUGGGCAAAACUGAAAUCAUUCUGUUAGUAAUCCGGAUCUGCUUCCUUCUUUCUCAAGGACCUGCUUUCCAGUUGUCUUUUUUUCAAUAAUAAUGUUCUAUUUCUCAAGUAUAAGAAUAAUACUUAUUUGUAGAAAUUUUAGAAGAAAGGUAGGACGAAGAAAAAAAUCGCCAAGAGAUCCAUUGUUAAUAUUUUGAUGUAUUCUCCUCUAAUCUUUGUACAUAUCUACCUACAAAUUUUGGUAAUAUAUACUAAUAUUUUCUUUUGAUUUCAUAUGGUAAAUAGUUUCCAAUGUUGCCAAAUAGUUUUCAAAAACACUAUUUUAAUGUGAAAGCAGACAAGAUUUUUAAAUAUACUGUCCCCAACAUUAAUAGUGAUUAACAUUGGACUCAAUAAAUAAACACUUAAGAAAAUAAAAUAAAAUUAGUAAAAUCAUUAUAAUGGCUGCAUAAUAAUUUAAUGGGCUCACCUCCUAUAAAUCAGUCUUUAACAUAGGACACUUAGAUUGUUUCUAGUUUUCUGUUGUUAUAAGUAAGUCUUCUAUGAAGAUCCUUGUACCUACAUUUCUGUGCACCACUUUCUUAGAAGUGAAAUUAAUGAGCUGGAGGGUAUAAACCUUAUGAAGUUUGUUGAUAAACAUUGCUCAAUUGCUUCCCAAAAAGGGUACAUGAAUUGCUGGUCCCCUCGGUGUAAAGAGAAUUGGGAAAGAGAAUUGUUACAGUCUUUGCAAAAUUAAGUAUUUUCAUUCUGUGAUCCGUCAGUUUGCUAUGAUUAUUAAUGAGGCUGGACUUUUUAUAUCUUUAUUGGUCAUUUGUAUUUCUUCUUUUGUGAAUGUUCAUGUCCUUUGCCUUCCCCUGCCUUUUGGGUGUUUAUCUUUUUUCUUACAUAUGAAGCAUACUAAGUAUAUAACACUUUUCCAUUCAUUUGUUUUGUAAAUGUUUUCCCUAAAUUUAUCAUUUAAUUUGGGUUGUUGACAUACACAAGAGCUUAUUGAUUUUAUGCUCAGAAAUACCUUUAGACUGUUUGAUCAGGUAAAUAGUUACCAACAGUUUCUUCUACAAGUCUCAAUGAAUAAAAGCCUGCUUACAUAGGAGCAGUUUUUCUGGUUAAGCAGGAUUUUAUUGGUCUGGACUAAGAAAACCAGUCCAUCUCCUACAGGAACCUGACUUGAAAUUAUCAAAACUAUAAUACUUUUUAGUUUACAUUCUUUGAACUACCCCACUGGCUACAUGAUAAUGUAAAAAACAUGUUGGUUGUUCCCAUCUUUGUAGGGCAAAACAUUUAAUUUUUUUUAAUGUUUAUUUAUUUGAGAGAGAGAGAGAGCCGGAGACAGAGCACAAGCAGGGGAGGGGUAGAGAGAAAGGGAGACACAGAAUCUGAAGCAGGCUCCAGGCUCUGAGCUGUUGGCACAGAGUCGGACGUGGGGGUCGAACCCGCAAACUGCAAGAUCAUGACCUGUAGUUGGAGGUUUAACCUACUGAGCCACCCAGGUGCCUCAGUAGGUCAAAAUAUUUAAAAGCAAACAGUAUGCAUAGCCUCUCCCAAAAGACUGCCCCACCCACAAAUUAACAAAGUCCGCUUUCUCUCUGAUUUCAGAAAUAGGGUAGGUUUUAGGAGGGUACCCCUGGGCCCUAGGUGGAGACUUUCUUUCAACCCAAGCCUCUCCGAGUCUCACGCCUUGGGGACAGACAGACUCUAAACCUGAGCAGGGUUGCUCUGGAAUGUAAUAUCUGGUAGAUAUUUACACUAAAAAAUUUUAUGUUGCUUCUCUGACCUUCAAAUUUAACUUGGAUGCCCUGUAUUUUUGUUUGCUAAAUCUGACAUCCCUGAUCCUGAGGCUUCCUUUCAGUGGUGAUGUUGGGGUCUGCAUCCCAGGCGUGCCCACAGGAAGCAGUACACAGACGUCGCACAACUGGUAGAUCACAUAAAGGUGUUUACCUGCCUCCCUCCAAAGAGGCUCUCAUGGCCAAGGGGCAGCCUCUUCCCUGGGCCCCAGGGAUACUUUCUAAGAAACCCACUGCAUUGACUUUUCUAUACCAAUCAGCGGGUACUUAGAAACCUAAGCUCUUCACCCAGGCCUUGUGGGCUGCUCCCAGGCUUCCUGCAUGUCAUGGUUCCUCUUCCUCCUUUUUCUAGCAGUUGUGAGGUUCUUCUUGGGCUGGUGGAUCCAGGCAGGCCCAGGUCCACGGAUCACACUUUGAGUGGCAAGCGUCUGAAGCUUUUCCUGAUUGGCUGCAGGAUGGCCCAGGCGCCUGGUCUUUUCAAUUCCAGGGCUUUGGCGAAACCGCCAGGCCCAGGAGGUCGGAAUCCAAGGCAAUGUGAUCCACGUCUGUGAGAAAGGCAACCGCAGGGAGAGGGCAAGGAGGCACAUGGCAGCAUUGUACCUACUGCACUUCCCCAACCCCUCAUGACUUGCUUUGGCCCGUGAAAUGAGAGCAGAAGUGACUUGUAUUACUUCCGGAUGAACACUUGGAGAAUUAGUGCUUGAUUUGCCCCGUCCUCGCUUCCUGCCUUCAGGGUCGAGGAGGCAGCAUGUCCAGUUCCAGCUGCCUGCGUCCCUGGGUGGCUGUGGGAAACAGAGCUCCUCUUGACCCACAAUGGACACAUUUCAUGAUUGAGGAAUAAACUUUUAUGUCACACCAC
Molecule: long non-coding RNA, 2962 nt
Organism: Leopardus geoffroyi (Geoffroy's cat)
Lineage: Eukaryota; Metazoa; Chordata; Mammalia; Carnivora; Felidae
Exons: 3
Source: RefSeq, a predicted model, not a curated record